This 210-nucleotide ribosomal RNA is filed under the name uncultured Lactobacillus sp. RNAcentral describes it as "partial 16S ribosomal RNA". It matches the Rfam family "Bacterial small subunit ribosomal RNA", at positions 154 to 354 of the family's 1533-position model. The record is from RNAcentral. Lineage: Bacteria; Bacillati; Bacillota; Bacilli; Lactobacillales; Lactobacillaceae.
AAACAGAUGCUAAUACCGGAUAACAACAGAUGAUGCCUAUCAACUGUUUAAAAGANGGUUCUGCUAUCACUCUUGGAUGGACCUGCGGUGCAUUAGCUAGUUGGUAGGGUAACGGCCUACCAAGGCGAUGAUGCAUAGCCGAGUUGAGAGACUGAUCGGCCUACAUUGGGACUGAGACGACGGCCCAAACUCCUACGGGAGGCAGCAGGC